RNAcentral lists this ribosomal RNA (250 nucleotides) under uncultured bacterium. Its description in RNAcentral is "partial 16S ribosomal RNA". It matches the Rfam family "Bacterial small subunit ribosomal RNA", at positions 524 to 771 of the family's 1533-position model. The record is from RNAcentral.
UACGAAGGGGGCUAGCGUUGUUCGGAAUCACUGGGCGUAAAGCGCACGCAGGCGGAUCGUUAAGUCAGGGGUGAAAUCCCGAGGCUCAACCUCGGAACUGCCUCUGAUACUGGCGAUCUUCGAGUCCGGGAGAGGUGAGUGGAACUCCGAGUGUAGAGGUGAAAUUCGUAGAUAUUCGGAAGAACACCAGUGGCGAAGGGCGGCUCACUGGCCCGGUACUGACGCUCAGGUGCGAAAGCGUGGGGAGCAA